GCAGGGCCUGAGCCCAGCAAUUCCCCUGCCCAGGAGGCAGAACUCCUGCCCUGGGCAGUGCCAGCCCUGAGCAGAGCCCACAGAGGCUCUGGGGUCUGAUUGCAGAGCAGUCUGGGCACAGGCCUGUGCCACGGGGAAGGAGGCGUCGUGUGAGGCGAUGGCCAUGGGCAGCCUCGCUGGGACACCCUUUGGCAAAGUUGCCAUGGGCUGGGACGGUGGUACUGAUCAGGGAAUUCUGUGAGGCGACACAGGAGCUGUGUGCUUUACACGCUCUGAAAUCCAAAUUCGUCACAGAACCACAGAAUAUGCUGAGCUGGAAGGCGCCCACCAGGACUGUUGAGUCCAGCUCCUGGUCCUGCACAGGACAACCCCAAGAAUCCCUCCAUGCCACUUCACACUUUGGGUUGACACCCUGAGAACGAGCCAGUGCCCAAAGGCGGGGCUGUGAUCUUUCUGGUGAGCCCUGUGCACGUAUGACGGUCACACACACCUGUGCAGAGCCACUGGACAUCCCAUUUUGCAGCAGGAACAUUGGAUCAGGACAAGAGGCCACAUGUGAGUCCUCCUUGUGGAUCAUGAUGCUGCUCAAGGUCUCUUUAACGAGGAUGGAGUGACGGGGAUGGAUGGCUUUUGUUACUUCAGAAAGACACAAACACUUGGAGGAGGAAGUAAAGUGCAAUUCCCUCCAUCUUCGGUGUUCACACCCUUUCUGGUUCAGUGACACACUGGAGUUCAACCUCACAAUGCUAGAAAGAAAUUUGACUCCUUGCCUGAAGUGCAGAAGCAGAGAAAAGUUGUCACCAAUUCUUUAGACUUCAUGUAACUUAAGGAUCUCCUGGAUUUUCAGGUGACUGGUGUCCUGAAUUCUGGGAGCAAGUGAAGCUAUCGGAGUAAACUUGUGUCUUGCUGUAUGUACUUAUCAGAAGACAAGCAUGGCACAGGGGAGGUAAUAAACAAGUUCUAAAGCAAAGGAAGAGUUUGAUGAGCAGUCCUGUCCCCUGCACACCCCCUGCUCCUGCUGCUCCUGGUAUCAGCAUUUGCCUGAGCUCUGGAAUGCCAGCCACUGAAAUGUGUGGCUGAAGUCAUCCCUGCACUGAACUCAGCAGGCAAUCUGUCACUGAAUUCAUUUCUGCCAAGAUCUCAAUCCAGGCUUGUACUGAUAGACCCUCAAAUAAAUAUUAUUGAUUAGUCAUCAUUAUUUCUUACUGUUGAUGUGCAGAAGGUUGUGGAGCCUUGCAGUUGGAUUUCUGCACAGUCCACUGGAAAAUCUGUUUGAUUAUAGUGUUUAUGUUGGCAGCGAGGUUCGUCUUUAUUGCAGGCUGAGGUUAAAGUCUCAGAUUUUGUCAAAAACCCAAAGCAAAAGUGAAGCUGACUCCCCUGAACCUCAGAGCAGAAAAAUCCUCACCAAAGAGAGCAGCUGGGGGCGUGGGGCUGACUCUGGAUUCACACUCCAGAGCACAAAUAAGCCAGGCUUUGGGGUCUGAGUGGUUCCAGCUUCAGCAUCCUCUGGGUCAGAGGGACUGAACUGCUGGCCCUGGUGCCUGAGCCCCUAAAUCUGCUCAGGGACAGGGAAGCCACGGUGCCAAACGUGAGUUACCUUCUCCCCUGCAUGGAACAUGCCCAGCUCCAGCCCUGCUCCGAACUGCUGGCAGCCAGGAAGCAAUUACAGCUCCUGCUCCUGCCAGAUGAUUGAGUGCUCGCAGACACAGAUUCCUGAGAAAGUAUAAUAGAGAAAAUGCAUUAGCAGAGUAUUUGUGCCUUCAUAGGAAAUGAAUAUGGAUGUAAUUAAGAAAAGCUGAUUUAUGUGGAACUGUAAAGCCAAGGACAUAAAAUGAAAAAUUCUCAGUAAAUGUCAAGUCAGUGUUUUGUGGUGGCCAAAACAAGGCAAGGAGAGUAUUGCAAUGGUAUUAAGGAACUGAAAAUUAAAAUGCCACUAUAUAAAUCCCUAGUACAUGAAUAUUUAAGACAUUAUAUGGAGUUCCAAGCACCUGAUCCCCAGAGAUUAUAGAAGUGCUGUUCCACUCUAGUCUGUUACUAACAUUUUGAGAACAGCAAGAUCACAAGCAUUUUUCUAGCUAGGAAAAGCCAAGUGGUUUCCGUGGCGGGUGUGUGAAGUGUCUGUGUGUGUGUAGACCCCACUAAGGCAGGAAAGCCUGGAUGUCCCUAAUGCUGUGGUGCACACUGAGAUCAGCUUUCUUCUUUCAGGCACUGUUGUGUCUGCUCAUGUCCUGAUGCCACGGAGCUCUUGGGUUUGUUCCUUUAUAGCACAUUUUCCCCUGAUAAAUCCAUCACCUUUAAGCACAGUGAGAAAUUUCACUAUUUACCUAAAACCUGACUGUUGCCCUGUCACAUUUCAAACUUCCACACACUGCAGCACACAAAAUACUCCUGGAUUAUGACCCUGACUGAUACGUGAUAUGUGAAAGCACCUUCCUCCAAACGUGAGCUCAUCAAUAAAUGAAGGAAUUUUACCAGGUAAUUUUCAUAAUUAAAAAAGUAGCCAUGAACCUUCUAAAAGCUGAAAGCUAAUUCACAGCAGUCAGAUGAUGAAUAAUUCAUACACUGGACUUCAGUUAUAUAUCCCUACAUAAAAAUGAGGAAAAGAUGAACUUCAUGAGGCUUAAUUUGCAUUCCAGCAAAUGAUCCGCAUUAUGUAAAUUAAAAAAAAAAAUCUAAACCCUCAUUAUUUGGUCAUUAAAAACUUUGUAACUAUUUUUAACUUAAAAGAAUGCUUUUUGCCAUGAAACCUCCAAAUGAGAUGUAAAUAGAUAAAACCUAUUUACUGCAUAUUUCACUGGCCCUUAAAUCCAGAAAUGUAUUUCUGUAUAUAUCAUUGCUCUGAUUAGUCUGCAGCAAAUGAAAUUGUAUGUAAUUUUCUGAAAAAGUACAGGCAAAUGUCACAAAAUGAGUUCAGUCACUGUGAUCCAGUUACAUGUGGAUUCAAAACCUGCAUCUUUUAUUAUUUUAAAGCAAAUUCCAUCUGUAGCUUUUGCUUUGACAGUCAGCAAAGGAGAAGCUAUCAGAAUCUGUACUACCCCACUAGAGAACACAGGACUAGCUCUAAAGCAGUCCACUAGAAAAUAACCUUUAAUGCAAGUUUUGUUGAAUUAUUUUUAUCAAUGUGUUGACUGUGAAAUAGAAAUUUAUCAUUUAUCUAGACUUUCUAAAUGUUUUUCUAACAUUAACAACUGCAUCUAGUGUGCUAAUGGAAUGCAGACUAACAUUAGCAAAACAGGCAGCAUUUGUAAGAUAUUUGUUGCUUCUCCUGUCGCACCAUUAAUCUUCUGAUCCAGGUGUCCACGAAUUCCACAGGUAUCCACAAAAAAAGACCUAUUUUUAAUAUGUAUAUAUGAAGCCAUUCUCGGAAUAAUCCUCCUUCUAAAUGCAAUUUGAUUAUAAGGGCUUCAUGAUUUCUCUGUUCGGGCUCUAUCAGGCCAUGAACAAAAACUUGCAUUGCUCUGUUUGUACUUCCUUCCUCAGGAUCUGGAGCAAAUACAGUUUACUUUGCAAAGUGGUACUUGACAUAAGGAAAAAACCUGCAGUAUCUUCCCUGAGUGAAUGGGGUCUUCUGUUCCCCAAACCUGGUGAGGUCCCAUUUCACAGACUCUAGUAUGUUUAGUUUCUAAAGGGACGGAAAGGGACUCAUCUGCUUCUGGACAAACACACAGAAUACAAAAUUAUUCCAUACAUAUGGUUCCCUUUCCUAUCCAAAGAAUAUUCCUUCUUCCCAGUCUAGGCACAAACCACUGAACUUUGAUUUCUUCUUAAACUGCCCCAGCCAUGAGCAGUUCUUUGGAGCUGCCUCUUGACAAUGUGUACAUGUGCUGAGCGAAAGAAAGGACACUAAUUAGUAUCUAUUUAAAUUAAUAUCUACAAACCACAAGACAAAGACAGGACACAUUCCAGGGUUUUUUUAUCCUUGCUUGUCUUUAUUUCAAAAUUAUCCUUAUGUUCUGCUGAAUAAUGAUUCAUUUCCAAAUGCAAAAGAUCAUUUAGCUUUGUGUUCUUUAUUAAGACAAUUAUUCUUACAAAAAUAGAAAAGCAUUAGCCUUUAUUAAUUUUUAGUUUAACAUACAGUCCAUUUCUGUCGGAAGGAGCAUUCUGGGCUGCAGAAUGUUUGAUUUAUUGUUGAUGGUUGUUUAAUUGUUAGGUCAUAACAGGUCUUCUGGCCACCACAUAAAUUAUCAAGAUUUUGCCAUUAUGUUUAAAUCUACACAGACAUCAAAAAAUGUUUGUCUAGCCAAAUUACUUUAGGAUGAACU
Molecule: non-coding RNA, 4262 nt
Organism: Taeniopygia guttata (zebra finch)
Lineage: Eukaryota; Metazoa; Chordata; Aves; Passeriformes; Estrildidae
Source: RefSeq, a predicted model, not a curated record